CCUACGGGUGGCAGCAGUGGGGAAUAUUGCACAAUGGGGGAAACCCUGAUGCAGCGACGCCGCGUGAGUGAAGAAGUAUUUCGGUACGUAAAGCUCUAUCAGCAGGGAAGAAAAAAAGUCCUUUGGACUUUGGACGGUACCUGACCAAGAAGCCCCGGCUAACUACGUGCCAUCAGCCGCGGCAAUACGUAGGGGGCAAGCGUAAUCCGGAUUUACUGGGUGGAAAGGGAGCGUAGACGGCAGCGCAAGUCUGGAGUGAAAUGCCGGGGCCCAACCCCGGAACUGCUUUGGAAACUGGGCAGCUGGAGUGCAGGAGAGGUAGGCGGAAUUCCUGGUGUAGCGGUGAAAUGCGUAGAUAUUAGGAGGAACACCAGUGGCGAAGGCGGCUUACUGGACUGUAACUGACGUUGAGGCUCGAAAGCGUGGGGAGCAAACAGGAUUAGAUACCCCUGUAGUC
This 457-nucleotide ribosomal RNA is filed under the name uncultured bacterium. RNAcentral describes it as "partial 16S ribosomal RNA". It matches the Rfam family "Bacterial small subunit ribosomal RNA", at positions 338 to 795 of the family's 1533-position model. The record is from RNAcentral.